GUCCAGACCAGAAAUAGAGUGCCAUUCUUUUUCCCAGGACCUCUCCAGUACGCUGGUCAGUCUCUCCAGUGACCAGUGGCAUGGAAACCUGGAAGUCCUACUUCCCUCUUCAAAACCAGGCCUCCUUCUUCUACAAGGCAAACAACAUCCUCCACAUCAGAACAAAAACUGAAUAGACAGACCAUCAAAGCUGUGUAAAAGCAACAGCUGCCCGGACACAUCCCAGGACAGUAAAGCUAUUUACCCGAGGAGCCUUUCAGAUGAUUCAGUGCUUCCCCCGUGAGUGCUUACAGAAGGCCGAGUGGAGUUUUGUAUCAGGGAGUAAAGACUGCAAGAACAAGUCCCUUGGCCAUGGUGCCAAGUUUCCAAGCAGCAGAUGAAAAUGUCUCCAGAAUCUUCUCAUUGCCAUCAUGCCUUCAUGAAAGGUUCAGAGCCAAUGUCACCAUGACGCACCAGCCCACUGUGGAGUGGCAAUUUGAUCAAAUUAUAACACCAACAAAGCCUGUUUUCCAAGGGGAAGAACCAAGUGCUCUGCUCUCUUCUUGUCAUUAAGAAUGAAAUCAUUUAUUUACCUGUGCAAACUUCCCUGGGACUGUACUGUACAACCUCUGCUGAAAUGUAUCGCUUAGCUCAUGCUGAUUUAAAUCUCCUCUUUAAAUUGGAUUUUUGCUGGAUAGCAUCACAAGAGUCCAAAAUGCAAUGGAAGACAGUGGGUAGGAUCAAACAAAGAAUCAACAAGCGAUGCAACCUUGAAAUUAUGAAUUAUCAGUUUGGUAUUUUUCCUUGAAAUCAGCAGCAAAGGGUUCUGGGAACACUGCAGGUUUGAAUUCUGCUGGGCAUUUUUUCAGUAGUGGCUUCCUGAAUUUUAUGUGAAAUUCAGUGAAAAAAUAAUGAAAAACAUAUAUACUUGUAUCAUGACAUAAUUCACUCUAACUGCAAAUAUGUACUUUGUGCUUUAAAGGGAAGUUCUAUAAAUAAAAUCAAUGCAUAUUACUGUGAUUAUAUAUAU
This 1009-nucleotide long non-coding RNA is filed under the name Anser brachyrhynchus (Pink-footed goose). Its description in RNAcentral is "lncRNA (ENSABRG00000021013.1)". Lineage: Eukaryota; Metazoa; Chordata; Aves; Anseriformes; Anatidae. The record is from RNAcentral.